RNAcentral lists this ribosomal RNA (250 nucleotides) under uncultured bacterium. RNAcentral describes it as "partial 16S ribosomal RNA". It matches the Rfam family "Bacterial small subunit ribosomal RNA", at positions 526 to 779 of the family's 1533-position model. The record is from RNAcentral.
CGUAGGCGCAAGCGUUGUCCGGAAUUAUUGGGCGUAAAGAGCUCGUAGGCGGUUUGUCGCGUCUGCUGUGAAAGCCCGGGCUUAACCCCGGGUGUGCAGUGGUACGGGCAGACUAGAGUGCAGUAGGGAGACUGGAAGUUCCUGGUGUAGCGGUGGAAUGCGCAGAUAUCAGGAGGAACACCGAUGGCGAAGGCAGGUCUCUGGGCUGUUACUGACGCUGAGGAGCGAAAGCAUGGGAGCGAACAGGAUU